GCCGGACUGAGAGGUCGGACGGCCACAUUGGGACUGAGACGCGGCCCAAACUCCUACGGGAGGCAGCAGUGGGGGAUAUUGCACAAUGGAGGAAACUCUGAUGCAGCGACGCCGCGUGAGUGAAGAAGUAUUUCGGUAUGUAAAGCUCUAUCAGCAGGGAAGAAAGGCUCGCAAGAGAGAUGACGGUACCUGACUAAGAAGCCCCGGCUAACUACGUGCCAGCAGCCGCGGUAAUACGUA
RNAcentral lists this ribosomal RNA (240 nucleotides) under Butyrivibrio proteoclasticus. Its description in RNAcentral is "partial 16S ribosomal RNA". It matches the Rfam family "Bacterial small subunit ribosomal RNA", at positions 286 to 529 of the family's 1533-position model. Lineage: Bacteria; Bacillati; Bacillota; Clostridia; Lachnospirales; Lachnospiraceae. The record is from RNAcentral.